Lytechinus variegatus (green sea urchin) is the source of this 458-nucleotide long non-coding RNA. RefSeq lists it as uncharacterized. The transcript is spliced from 2 exons. The record is from RefSeq and is a predicted model, not a curated record. NCBI's taxonomy places the organism in Eukaryota, Metazoa, Echinodermata, Echinoidea, Temnopleuroida, Toxopneustidae.
UCUGAAUCACCUUACUGAAAUAAACUUCUAAAAAAAGUUUUGAAAUCUCAUUUUGUUCAACUAUAUUGAUCUGGCUCUAAAGGCCUGAUCACAAGUCAAAAGCUGAAAAACCUGCAAUAUGUCUGAAGUUUCAUAAAUCAUCUACGGUUUGGAUUAAAAUCUGAGUUUGAUUAUUGCUCUCUUAUCCCAGCAAUAAUCCAUGCAUGUUUGAUUUUAAUUAAGAUUGUGAACAUUUUUUAUAACUUUUUUCUAUGAUUAUAUCUUAUACAAGUGCAGUGCUUUGAAACAUGGGAAAUAUUGAAUAGAUGCAAAAUGACUUACAUUUCAGCCAUGCAGCUGAGAGACAAAAUGACAUUACGCCAAACAAAAGAACCUGUUCUUAAUCUCUUCUCCAUGACUACCAGAUUUCAUGCCACACUUUGAAAUAUUGCUCUUUGGCAUACUCAUAAAAAAGUAGG